UACGUAGGGUGCGAGCGUUGUCCGGAAUUACUGGGCGUAAAGAGCUCGUAGGUGGUUUGUCGCGUUGUUCGUGAAAACCGGGGGCUUAACCCUCGGCGUGCGGGCGAUACGGGCAGACUUGAGUACUGCAGGGGAGACUGGAAGUUCCUGGUGUAGCGGUGGAAGUGCGCAGAUAUCAGGAGGAACACCGGUGGCGAAGGCGGGUCUCUGGGCCGAUACUGACGCUGAGGAGCGAAAGCGUGGGGAGCGAACAGG
RNAcentral lists this ribosomal RNA (255 nucleotides) under uncultured bacterium. RNAcentral describes it as "partial 16S ribosomal RNA". It matches the Rfam family "Bacterial small subunit ribosomal RNA", at positions 524 to 776 of the family's 1533-position model. The record is from RNAcentral.